AUGUCCACCACAACGGCACCCAUGAUGACUCCCUCCUCCGUGCUCACGCUCACCACCCUCUCCGUGCCCGCCCCGACCGCCCCCAUCAUCGCUCCACCCGCCACGUCGGCUCCCACCCCCGUCCUUCCACCCAUCGCGGUCUCGCUCGACCGCAAUAACUUCAUGCUAUGGAGGGCCCUUUCCCUUCCCAACUUCGCCGGAGUUUGCCUCCAUAGCUUCCUCGACGGCUCGGCCAAGGCGCCAGCGCCGACCGUGAUGACAAGCACCGGCGAGGCCACCCGCACCGUGUCCAACCCUGAGUAUGAGCAGUGGUGGACGAUGUAUCAGAAGGUUCUCAGGCAUCUCCUCAGUUUAAUGAACGUGGAGAUCUCCGCGUAG
Molecule: ribosomal RNA, 378 nt
Filed under: Triticum aestivum (bread wheat)
Lineage: Eukaryota; Viridiplantae; Streptophyta; Magnoliopsida; Poales; Poaceae
Description: partial small subunit ribosomal RNA
Source: RNAcentral